GAUGAACGCUGGCGGCGUGCCUAAUACAUGCAAGUCGAGCGAACAGACGAGGAGCUUGCUCCUCUGACGUUAGCGGCGGACGGGUGAGUAACACGUGGAUAACCUACCUAUAAGACUGGGAUAACUUCGGGAAACCGGAGCUAAUACCGGAUAAUAUAUUGAACCGCAUGGUUCAAUAGCGAAAGACGGUUUUGCUGUCACUUAUAGAUGGAUCCGCGCUGCAUUAGCUAGUUGGUAAGGUAACGGCUUACCAAGGCAACGAUGCGUAGCCGACCUGAGAGGGUGAUCGGCCACACUGGAACUGAGACACGGUCCAGACUCCUACGGGAGGCAGCAGUAGGGAAUCUUCCGCAAUGGGCGAAAGCCUGACGGAGCAACGCCGCGUGAGUGAUGAAGGUCUUCGGAUCGUAAAACUCUGUUAUUAGGGAAGAACAAAUGUGUAAGUAACUAUGCACGUCUUGACGGUACCUAAUCAGAAAGCCACGGCUAACUACGUG
RNAcentral lists this ribosomal RNA (497 nucleotides) under uncultured bacterium. RNAcentral describes it as "partial 16S ribosomal RNA". It matches the Rfam family "Bacterial small subunit ribosomal RNA", at positions 28 to 507 of the family's 1533-position model. The record is from RNAcentral.